UAGGGAAUAUUGGGCAAUGGCCGAUAGGCUGACCCAGCCAUGCCGCGUGCAGGAAGACGGCGUUCUGCGUUGUAAACUGCUUUUAUACGGGAAGAAAAGGCCCAUGCGUGGGACAUUGCCGGUACCGUAUGAAUAAGCACCGGCUAACUCCGUGCCAGCAGCCGCGGUAAUACGGAGGGUGCAAGCGUUGUCCGGAUUUAUUGGGUUUAAAGGGUGCGUAGGCGGCCUUUUAAGUCGGCGGUGAAAGUUUAUGGCUCAACCAUGAAAUUGCCGUUGAUACUGGGAGGCUUGAGUGUCGAUGGGGUACAUGGAAUUGAUGGUGUAGCGGUGAAAUGCAUAGAUACCAUCAGGAACACCGAUAGCGAAGGCAUUGUACUUAUCGACAACUGACGCUGAGGCACGAAAGCGCGGGUAUCGAACA
RNAcentral lists this ribosomal RNA (421 nucleotides) under uncultured bacterium. Its description in RNAcentral is "partial 16S ribosomal RNA". It matches the Rfam family "Bacterial small subunit ribosomal RNA", at positions 355 to 774 of the family's 1533-position model. RNAcentral also lists the same sequence under 1 other name. The record is from RNAcentral.